AUCCUAUGAUGAGUACACUUUCCAGUUCUGCUUCUGAUCUCUCUGAAGAGAAUCUUUUAUACCAAAAUACCUGACCU
This 77-nucleotide small nucleolar RNA is filed under the name Scedosporium apiospermum. The record is from RNAcentral. Lineage: Eukaryota; Fungi; Ascomycota; Sordariomycetes; Microascales; Microascaceae.